This 241-nucleotide ribosomal RNA is filed under the name uncultured bacterium. RNAcentral's name for it is "partial 16S ribosomal RNA". It matches the Rfam family "Bacterial small subunit ribosomal RNA", at positions 57 to 305 of the family's 1533-position model. The record is from RNAcentral.
GCAAGUCGACCGCUGUGCUUGCACAGGGGGGCGAACGGGUGAGUAACACGUAUCUAACCUACCUUAUAGUCUGGAAUAACUGCGGGAAACUGCAGCUAAUUCCGGAAAGAAGUCCAUUGGAAUCACUUGAAGACCAAAGGCCCGAUUGGGUCGCUAUUAGAUGGGGAUGCGGCGUAUUAGUUAGUUGGUGAGGUAAUGGCUCACCAAGACGAUGAUACGUAGCCGGCCUGAGAGGGUGAAC